CCUACGGGUGGCUGCAGUGAGGAAUAUUGGUCAAUGGACGAGAGUCUGAACCAGCCAAGUAGCGUGAAGGAUGACUGCCCUAUGGGUUGUAAACUUCUUUUAUAUGGGAAUAAAAUGUUCCACGUGUGGGAUUUUGUAUGUACCAUAUGAAUUAGGAUAGGCUAACUCCGUGCCAGCAGCCGCGGUAAUACGGGGGAUCCGAACGUUAUCCGGAUUUUUUUGGUUUAAAGGGAGCGUAGGUGGUUUGUAAAGUCAGUUGUGAAAGUUUGCGGUUAAACCGUAAAUUGCAGUUGACACUGGCAGUCUUGAGUACAGUAGAGGUGGGCGGAAUUCGUGGUGUAGCGGUGAAAUGCUUAGAUAUCACGAAGAACUCCGAUUGCGAAGGCAGCUCACUGGACUGCAACUGACACUGAGGCUCGAAAGUGUGGGUAUCAAACAGGAUUAGAUACCCCGGUAGUC
RNAcentral lists this ribosomal RNA (459 nucleotides) under uncultured bacterium. RNAcentral describes it as "partial 16S ribosomal RNA". It matches the Rfam family "Bacterial small subunit ribosomal RNA", at positions 338 to 795 of the family's 1533-position model. The record is from RNAcentral.